Molecule: ribosomal RNA, 254 nt
Filed under: uncultured Pseudonocardia sp.
Lineage: Bacteria; Bacillati; Actinomycetota; Actinomycetes; Pseudonocardiales; Pseudonocardiaceae
Description: partial 16S ribosomal RNA
Rfam family: Bacterial small subunit ribosomal RNA
Source: RNAcentral
UACGUAGGGUGCGAGCGUUGUCCGGAAUUAUUGGGCGUAAAGAGCUCGUAGGCGGUCUGUCGCGUCGGUCGUGAAAACUUGGGGCUUAACCCUGAGCUUGCGGUCGAUACGGGCAUGACUUGAGUUCGGCAGGGGAGACUGGAAUUCCUGGUGUAGCGGUGAAAUGCGCAGAUAUCAGGAGGAACACCGGUGGCGAAGGCGGGUCUCUGGGCCGAUACUGACGCUGAGGAGCGAAAGCGUGGGGAGCGAACAGG